ACACUGCUUACACGCAAUUGACUUUCUGGGAUUAAGUUUCAGGUCUUACAAAGGUUUCUUGUCCAGGAAGAAAUAAAGAUUAUGGUUCGUCUCAAUUCCGAUAACACCAACGAUAGGAGCAUGUGAACUCCCAUGAGUUUGACACCUUUCUUGUCAUUCCGUGCCUCCCAGUGUUUGAACAACGCACAGCUUUCAAGUCAUCAUUCAUUGACAGAUUGAUCUUGACUGGGUGAGGAAAUUCAUCGCAGAUUUGGAGCAAAUUUAUAGCCGGAGGUUUUAGCGGUUACCUUCGACUGCGAUGAUGGCGAUUAGAUGCAUAAGAAAGUGGUAGUAGUGGGAUGAACCACAUACAUGUUUGAUUUAAUACGCCAGAGGAAUGCAAACGGUAGCGGUUACACAGCAUUGCCGGAGGCGUCAAGACUUUAGGAGCUACGUCGUCUCUCCUAAGAAGGUGGGCCACCGAGCUGGACAAAACCUAAGUUAUUAUGUAUGAAAAAUAAAGUUGGGCCUUAUAAAUCAAGCAGAAUCCAAAACAAUUGGCUCAUAAACAGAAACGAACAUUACGAAAGCUUUUUUAAGAAGUGGACACGUGUUCAAUUUUGGAAUAGCCUCUGCUGAGGUGG
This 623-nucleotide long non-coding RNA is filed under the name Brassica napus (rape). RNAcentral describes it as "long non-coding RNA (BNAP_LNC010621)". The record is from RNAcentral. Lineage: Eukaryota; Viridiplantae; Streptophyta; Magnoliopsida; Brassicales; Brassicaceae.